RNAcentral lists this transfer RNA (92 nucleotides) under Chloroflexota bacterium. Its description in RNAcentral is "Chloroflexi bacterium tRNA-Ser". It matches the Rfam family "tRNA". From Rfam's summary of the family: Transfer RNA (tRNA) molecules are approximately 80 nucleotides in length. RNAcentral also lists the same sequence under 3 other names. Lineage: Bacteria; Bacillati; Chloroflexota. The record is from RNAcentral.
GGAGGGGUGUCCGAGCGGCUUAUGGUGACGGUCUUGAAAACCGUUGUCCUUCAACAGGAGGACCGUGGGUUCGAAUCCCACCCCCUCCGCCA